Marmota flaviventris (yellow-bellied marmot) is the source of this 877-nucleotide long non-coding RNA. RefSeq lists it as uncharacterized. The record is from RefSeq and is a predicted model, not a curated record. Lineage: Eukaryota; Metazoa; Chordata; Mammalia; Rodentia; Sciuridae.
GCGGGACCCAACUUGGGUGGCCGCGCUGCUACCAGCCGGGAAGUUGAGAUCGGCCUUCGACUUCAGAUAGGAAAUCUAAGAGAAGAGAAGCUGCUGUGGAGUCAUGCGCAAUAACAGUAUCGCUUUGGAAGAACCCAGAGAACACAGUUCAAGCUUAUCAAAAGAUCACCAAACAGCUACAGCAGCCCUGGAGCCAGAGUCUCCAGGGUUUAUCAUCUGGUACAUAAAUGCCAUACCACAGCUUUCUCCUUGAAGAGAAGAAUCCUGCCGCCCUUACCUUUAUCCCACUGAAAUCUAGUCUCAAGUUUAGAAAUCAGUCAAUCAGUUAAAACCCAAGUAGGAGCAUGUCUCUGUUGUGCUCACAGCCCUCCAAUUCAAACUAAAAAAACCCAGAGCCUUUACCAUGGCCUUCACAGACUCAUCUGAUCCGGUGCCAGCUUCCUGUCUGACUUUAUUGCACAAGAUCCCUUCCUUGAACAGAUGAAGCAUUCUCCUGCCUCAGGACCUUAGCACUGGCUGUUCCUUUGAACUGCAUUCUCCUUCAGUCACAUGUUUCAUUUUCUUUACGAAAUGAACAAACCAACCCAACUGCCAAAGAUGGCUUUCCUGACAAUUUUAUGUAAAACCAUACCUCUUGGAAACCUCUUAUGCUUUCUUUCCUAAAUGUGCUUUGUCUUCCUAGCACUAACCACCACCUGAUUAUUUGCUAACUUGUUUAUGUUCUGCCUCCUUCACUAGAACUUAAGCUCCACAGAGCAAGGAUUGAUUCUUGUCCAGGUCAUUUACCACUGCAUUUUUGUGCUGGCCAGCACGUAGUAGGUGUUCAAUAGAUUCUUACAGAAUUAAUGAUUCAAGCCUUGCAGUGAAUAAACAGUAU